ACCGUCUCCCUGUCCCCAGGGUGCCCGGGACCGCGCCAUCCGCGGCUGGUGACACGGGUGUGAGCUUCGCCACCCGUCAGGCAGCACGCCUCACCUGGGCGUGCAGGUCUCCUCGGGCUCCCACCAACCCGUUUCUCACCUCCUCUUUGACCUUUUUUUUUUUUUUUUUUUGUAAGCAAAUCUGACAUUUAUCCCAGUCAAUGGGAACUUGAAGCGGCCUAGCUGUGCUUCACACCAGGGCCCCAGCAUCUUCUCCAGCCUGCGUUUCUUCAUGCCUCAAAUGAAGAUAAUUAAUCAUCCUGGACACCGUGGAGGGAGGGGGUUUGGAGGGUUAAGAGACAAGAUGCGUCCAGAGUUCCUGGCCAGGCCCGGGGAACGCGCUCCCUUGGCCGUGGCUGGUGAGAGGGCCGCUCGGCACAGUGGGUGAGAGCACAGCCCUGGACUCAGCCAGACCCGGGGCAAGGGCCGCCCUGCCCUGUGCGAGGGGUGGGUGCUUGAAGCAUCUCCUGAGUGGGCUGCUCAGAGGGGAGGGGAGGUAACACAGGCGAAGCACUCAGGCCGGGCCGGGCUGAGUUUUCAGUGACGGGAGGGAGCCGUAGAAACAGCAGAAAGGAUGCCAGCAUGUCAGUAAGAUCCGUAUUGGUAGCUCUCGUGGAGUUGAGCAUCAGUGUGGGGAGAUCUUGUUGUGUGAAAGAGGAAGUGGAUGAAUUUCACUCACUGCACGAUGUCACUGCGUUUAGCUUUUUGUGAAACCAGGAUUCUUGUUGUUGGUGAACACACACAUCUGCACAUAAAGAUGUAAGGGUGCACCGGAAGGAUAUGUGACAGACACACUUGUGAGGUGCCUGCCUUUGGGGAGACAACAGAAGACACCUUGGUCUUUAUCCUCUUUUGGUCUUUCAUUAAAGGAAAAAAAAAGAGUCGAAGCAAACAGGGUAUUAGUAGUGUGGCCUAAUAACAAGCGUCCCUUCUGAUGAACGGGAGUACAGGUGUUUGUUUAUAUUCUUUGUUUUUGUCUUUCUGUCUGUGUGUUUAGUUUUCAAGAGAAGAGCAGAAACUGCAUAGAGGGAAGCCAGCCAAGAGGGGUGAGGAAAGUUCCGGGGACAGGGUGGACGUCCGGAAGGACUUGAAGCAGGCAGAGCACAUCAUUAGUGCUGUGCUGGAAGACUGUCCUGGUGAAAGCAUACGUGCUCUACUUGGCCGGCGCUGGGGUGAAUAGAGGGCUUUGGUGAGGGCCUCCUUUAUGGAAAAGGAACAUCACAUCUGCCAAGCUAGCUGUCCUUGCUCUGAAAAAACACAAGAGGAUUUUAACCACCCACCCCUUGGUAUGCUCCAGUGAAGGGCAUAAGAAUGUUUUUCUUAGUUUUUUGACUACAUGGCAGUUCAUUUCUGUUCGCCUUCAGUUUCUCAUGUAAGUCCUAAAUGUGGGCUUUAAUGCUAAUGGGGAAGUUUCGUAGCUCACUGCAAGGAGCCACAUGCUGCCUUAGUACUAAGAAUGAAAGUGUUUUUGCCUUUGUUUGACCUUUAAAGCUGUUAUGACCUAAUUUAGGAAAGUCCUGUACAAUAUAUCUAGGAAUUAAUUUAUUCUUCAUGUUUUAUGUGCCCUAUCUGUGCGUCAAGAUAAAGUGACAGCUGGGUCAUCAGGAUAGAACUGUAGUUCAUUUUCCCCUAGCCUUCAUUUAAAAAAAAAAAAAAAAAAAGAAAAGAAAAAAAAGCUUUUUCUCAAGGAGUGUUGUUAUUUUAGAGAUUUUCAAGCAAGGAACGUUAGAAAGAAAUUAUUCAAAUUAAGUAAAUACUUACAAGACCCACCAUUAUUAUCUGUCUUUUGAAGAGAUGCCCAGGAAAGUCCCCUUUUACCAACUGGAAAAACACUUAGCUUCUAAGAUAAUUAUGAAACAGAAGGGUAUUUGAGUCUGCGAGUUAUUGUGAUUACAGUUUCCCAUGGAUUUUCAUCCAGCUUAUCAAAAAUACUUCCUAUUCUGGGCUCUGGUUUGGGCUGUCUUCUUCCCGUCACUAGUGGGAGAAAUAAAUUCCCCAGUUCUCUUGGCUAGCGAGAGUUCAGAUUUCGUUCUGGCAUGCUGGCGUAAAGCCUCGUGUCUGGACUCUUCGAGUGGCACCGGGGACCCGCGUGCGCCAAGAGGGCACCUUGGGUUGCGAGCCAGAGCUUGUGUACGUGCAUGAGGUCACGCAGCACGGCCCGCCGUGGCCUCCUGUGGGCCAGGGCCCCGUGCUAGGGACUGGUGACAUAGACACACAGCUUUUGCUUUUGCCUUGGGUUUCGUGAGUCAUGCAGACCAGACUCGUGAUUCCAGGAUAAGCCUCCCUUGACGGAAGUAGGGACAGGAAGCCUAGGGAGUGAUGGUUAAGAAGACUUGCAUUUGAGGAUUUCCACUUUUGACCAAGAUAGAGUAACAGGGACCGAUUUACUUUCCUGUCUGAAACAAUUGAAAGACGGACAAAAUAUCUGAAACCCUAGACUUUGGUCAGUGAAGCACAGUGAUACCUUAAGAGACGGGACGGGCAGUGAAGGUUUUUUUCCCCUCCUGACACCAAGUAUGUGUUGUCUUUUCCAGCACCUCCUCUCCAGUUCUCUGGACACCAACUGGAUGUUGGUCAGCUCGGUUCUGACACUGUGUACCGGGAGUUGGGGCCAGAUCUCACGGUUACAGGGUUUCGCCCCACAAGGCUGCCCCCAUUUCGGACGCCAGUCUCAAGUCUGGACCACCUAUACUUCUGACUGACCGGCUAGCAAGCGGGGAGUCCCAUGACCCCUUCCUCAGGUUCAGUAAUUUGCUAGAAUGGCUCACAGAACUCAGGAAAACACUUGACUUACAUUUGCCGGCCUAUUAUAAAGGAUAUAGCUCAGGAACAGCCAAAUGGGAGAGAUGCCUAGGGCAGGGUGGCCUAGGGGGGUGGGAGGGGGGCACGGAAUUUCCACGCCCUUUCUGGGUGCUCUCUCCCGGCACCUUGAUGUGGAUCUCCAAAUGCCAUCAUUUGAGGGUUUUCAUGGAGAUUUCGUUACAGAUGCGUGGUCGAUGAUGAACUGGCCAUCAGUGAUUAGCUCCCUAUCUAGUCCCUCUGUCCUUCCCCGAGAUGGGGAUGAGGCUGAAAGUUCCAGGCUUCCAAUCAAGGCUUGGUCUUUCUGGCAGCCAACUCCCAUCCUGAAGUUCUUUAGGGACCUGCCAAGAGUUGCCUCAUUAGAACAAAACACUUUUGUUACCCUGAUCGCUCAGGAAAUUCCAAGGGUUUUAGGAGUUCUGUGCCAGGAACCAGGGAUGACAACCAAGUAUCUUUUUUAUGCCACAGGCAAGAAGGGAAUGAGCACUACAGUUGCCUCGGCUCACUUCCCUGAGCCCGUUUUCAGGCCACGGGGCGGGGCGGGGGGGCGGAGAACCUGAGCAGAACUAAACAGACUGGCUGAGCUGAGGGGAUGGGGACGGGGGCUCAGGGAGACCAAAGCGCUGGCAGGUCAGAGCGGCAGAGGGGGUGUGCAGAGAGAGCUGGAGGUGGGGGCUGUCAGCUGAGGGCUGAGCUACCCGGUGAGCAGCCUGAGGCUGGGCAGAGAUGUGAUGGGAAGGAUAAAGAGAGGGGCACUGGCGGCAGGGGGGGGGGGGGGGGGGGGGGGGGAGCAGAAUCAGUCAGUUGAGCGGCUGACUCUUGGAUCGGUUUUGGCUCAGGUCGUGAUCUCACUUUUCUAGAAUUCGAGGCCCGCGUCAGGCUCUGUGCUGACGGCUCUGUGCCGUGGAGCCUGCUUGGGGUUCUCUAUCUCCCUCUGUCUCUGCUCCUCUCUCUCUCUCACUCUCUCUCUCAAAAUAAAUAAAAUACAUAAAUAAAUAAAUAAAUAAAUAAAGACUAAGAGUGAAGCAGUGCCUGACGUCCACAGGGCUGGGAAUCAUGCCUGCUCCAGGCACAGCGGCUUCCCUGGGGAGUUCUGCGAAGUGUUUGAGGAAGAGGUGCUGCCAGUUCCACCCACGCGCCUCCAGAAAGUUGAAGACAAGGGAACCCUUCCCAGCUCGCUUUCUGAGGCCUGAAUUAUCCUGAUACCAGAACUAGACAAUGAUGUCGCGAGGAGAGAAAUCCAAAGACCAAGGUCCUUCAUGAAUAUAAAUGCUAAAAUUUUAAACACACGGUUUUAGCAAAUCUAAUCCAGCGAUAUAUAGAAAAGAUGAUACAAUGUGACCAAAGUGGGGUUCAGCCCAAGAAUGCAGGGUUGGUUUAAUAUUUGAAAACCAACCCAUGUAGUUUGCCAUAUUAACAGACUAAAAAAAGAAAAACCAUGUGAUUGUGUCAGUAGUGCAGAAGACACAUUUGACAAAAUCUGAUAUCUAUCUUGGCAUGAUGCCCCAAAAGUUUCUUACAGGAAACUACAGGGGAGAAGCAGAUUUACAGGACAGGCUUAGAGCAGGAGAGAGGAUUCAACAACUCUGCAGAGUUUAAAAACCUCACAUGUGUUCUUGACCAAAAUCCCUUAGCAAAGUAGGAAAAGAAGGAAGGUUCUUUAACCUCCUAAAGGGGUUCUGUGUGCUUCCUUCAGCUUCACAUCACAUCAUACAUACUUCACUGUGAAGACUAAAUACUUUACCCUAAUAUCAGGAGCAAGACAAGAAUGGCCAUUCUAACAAUCUCUCUUCUAGCCAGUGCACUUAGGCAAGAAAAAAGAAGAGGCAUUCAGAUUGGAAGGGAAGAAGUAAAACUGUUGAUUGAAAGACAUGAUCUUCUAUGUAGAAAAUCUGAUGGAUCUUCAAAAAAGCUACUAGAGCUGAUAAGUAGGUUUGGUAAAGUGGCAGGAUACAGGAUCAACAUCCAAAAAUUUGCGGUAUUGCUAUAUGCUUGCAGUGAAUCAUCAGCAAUUGAAAUUUUAGAAAGUACCAUUCAAGAUAGCAUUAAAAAACACAAAAUACUUAGAAAUAAAUGUGACAAAAGUCUGUAAGGCCUGUGCACUGAAAUGCACGAAAUAUUCCUGAGAGAAGUCAAAGAAGAUCUAAAUAAAUGGAGAGACGCACCAUGCUCGUGGGCUGUGAAGCCCAAUACUGUUAAGAUAAUCUGUUCUCCUCAAGAGUUGGUCUGUAGAUUCAACUCAACCCCAGUCACAUCCCAGCAGCACUUUUUUUGUAGAAAUUCACAGACUGAUUCUGAAAUUCACGUAGAAAUGUAAAGACCUAGACAAGCCAAAACAAUUUUGAAAAAGACAAUCAAACUUGGAGGACUAACACUGAUGAAUUAAAGUUAAUUAAGAGUGACUACCUGAUCUUGAGACAUAAUACAUAGCUCCCUAUCAAGACAGUGUGGUAUUGACUUAAAGAUAAACUCGUAGAAGAGAGAGUCUAGAAAUAAACCCACAUGUGGAUGGACAGCUAAGUUUUGACAAAAACGUAAAGGCAGUUCAGUGGAAAUAUUCUUCAAAAAAUGAUGCUGGAAUAAUAAUUGGAUAACCCCAUGUUUUAAUGACUCUCGAGCCAUGCUUUGCACCAUAUACAAAAAUUAACUCAAAAUGUAACAUAGACCACAACGUAAAACCUGAAACCGUAACACUUACAGAAGAAAACGUAGAAGAAAACCUUUGUGACCUUGGGUUCGGCAAAGCUUUCUUGAGUAUAACACAAAGGUAUGAUCCGUAAGAGUACAAGUUGAUAAAUUGGGCUUCAGAAUUAAAAAAUUCUCUUUAAAAUACACUGUUUAGGGAAUAAAAAGACAAGCAAAAUACUGGGAGAAAAUGUUUGCAAAUCACAAUCCAAUAAAGUACUCAUAUCCGGAAUAUAGAGAACUCCCCAAAUCCAACAGUUAGGAAACAUACAACCAAAAAAAAAAAAAAAAAAAAAAAAAAUGAGCAAAAGACUUGAACAGACACUUCGCCGAACAAGUUCUGUAGAUGGCACAUAGGCACGUGAAAAGCGCUCCGCUUCCUGAGGGCAACGCAAAAUGAAGCCACAGUGAGAUAUACUACACGCCUGUUAGGCCAAAAUUGAAAAGAUUGCGGACUGAGUAGUGACGAGAAAAUGAAGGAACUGGAACUCUCUCUGUUGGAAUCUAAAAUGAGUAGAGCCAUUUUGAAAAAACGCAGGCACUUUUAUGACACAGCCAUUUCUGUUUCAAGUAUUUGUUUUUAGACUCAAGAGAAGCGAAGAUACAUGUCCCUACAAAGGCUUGUGUGUAAAUAUUCAGAGUAGUUUUGCUCGUAAUGGCCACAGAGUGGAAACCUGGCCAUCCAUCAACAGGAGAGCCUGUAAAUGGGCUCUGGUAUGAUCUGUCUCCUGGAAUAUACUACCUGGUAGGAAAAAGGAACGAGCUGUUGCUACAUGCGCCUGUAUGAAUGAAUCUCAGAGUGAUUAUGCCGAGUGGAAGAAGCAGGGGAAGAGAUUACGUGUUGUAGCAGGACUCCAUUUACGUGCAAUCCUAGACAGUGUGUACCUGGGUGAAGUGACAGGAAGGCCACUGGUUUCCUGGUGAUGGUGUAGGGGAGGGUUGUGAGGGGUGAGAGAGAGAGAUUACGAGAGUUUGAGGGAACUUUUGGGGGGUGAUGGAUCUAUGUAUUGUCUUGAUUGUAGCGAUGGUUUCUAGGGUGUGUACAUGUGUCAGAACUUACUAACUUGUGUCUUUAAAGAGGUACGGUUCACUGUAUGUCAGUUCUGUCUCUCCAAAGCAAUUUUUUUU
Molecule: long non-coding RNA, 6651 nt
Organism: Leopardus geoffroyi (Geoffroy's cat)
Lineage: Eukaryota; Metazoa; Chordata; Mammalia; Carnivora; Felidae
Exons: 2
Source: RefSeq, a predicted model, not a curated record